ACGGCAGCACAGGGAAGCUUGCUUCUCGGGUGGCGAGUGGCGAACGGGUGAGUAACAUAUCGGAACGUACCGGGUAGCGGGGGAUAACUGAUCGAAAGAUCAGCUAAUACCGCAUACGUCUUGAGAGGGAAAGCAGGGGACCUUCGGGCCUUGCGCUAUCCGAGCGGCCGAUAUCUGAUUAGCUGGUUGGCGGGGUAAAGGCCCACCAAGGCGACGAUCAGUAGCGGGUCUGAGAGGAUGAUCCGCCACACUGGGACUGAGACACGGCCCAGACUCCUACGGGAGGCAGCAGUGGGGAAUUUUGGACAAUGGGCGCAAGCCUGAUCCAGCCAUGCCGCGUGUCUGAAGAAGGCCUUCGGGUUGUAAAGGACUUUUGUCAGGGAAGAAAAGGCCGUUG
Molecule: ribosomal RNA, 397 nt
Filed under: Neisseria gonorrhoeae
Lineage: Bacteria; Pseudomonadati; Pseudomonadota; Betaproteobacteria; Neisseriales; Neisseriaceae
Description: bacterial SSU rRNA
Rfam family: Bacterial small subunit ribosomal RNA
Source: RNAcentral